RNAcentral lists this ribosomal RNA (441 nucleotides) under uncultured bacterium. RNAcentral describes it as "partial 16S ribosomal RNA". It matches the Rfam family "Bacterial small subunit ribosomal RNA", at positions 338 to 795 of the family's 1533-position model. The record is from RNAcentral.
CCUACGGGAGGCAGCAGUCGGGAAUAUUGCGCAAUGGAGGAAACUCUGACGCAGUGACGCCGCGUGCAGGAAGAAGGUUUUCUGAUUGUAAACUCCUUUAGACAGGGAAGAAAAACGCCAGUCCCUGUCGAAUCAGCUCGGGCUAACUACGUGCCAGCAGCCUCGGUCAUACGUAGGGGGCAAGCGUUAUCCGGAAUCAUUGGGCGUAAAGAGUUCGUAGGUGGCAAGUUAAGUCUGGUGGUAAAGGCGGAAGCUCAACUUCCGUAGGGCAGUGGAUACUGGCGAGCUUGAAUGCGGUAGAGGUAAAGGGAAUUCCCGGUGUAGCGGUGAAAUGCGUAGAUAUCAGGAGGAACAUCGGUGGCGUAAGCGCUUUACUGGGCCGUAACUGACACUGAGGAACGAAAGCCGGGGUAGCAAAUGGGAUUAGAUACCCUUGUAGUC